CUUAUGGAUUUAAAGACAGAGAUGAGAAGCUGAGAGGUCCCACUGGGCAUGCCAAAUUUGUAAACACGAAAAAUUAUGUAACAAAUGAAGCAAGAACAUGUAUACAAAGUAGAUUUGUAUUGAUGAAUUUGUAGGGCUACAAUCUCUGUUUACAAUUUUCCUCUUAUUCAAUCUUCAAUUUUGAUGUAGAUGCGUAGGUUGUUGAUCCAAGGGUCACGAUGACUUGAUCUUAGAUGAACAAUUGAAUGAUUGCUUCAAGUUUGGAGCUUGAAACAAUGCGUGGAUAGUCUUCACCUCACAGUUGCGGCAAAGGUAGUGUUGAUGUAGGAUUUCGUUAAUUCAAGGGUCUUUGCAACUUGAUCAUGAAUCGAACGUCGUUACAAGUUUUAAGCUUGCAACAAAGUCUUGAAAGAAUCGGCACAAGUGUUUGUUGAUUCUUCAAGGAAAUACUUCGGCUUUGGUCGAAGAAAACUUCAACUUAGGUUGUAUGUUCUUUGAAGAAAGCUUUAGCAGUGUAUUAGUUUUCAAAGAUUUGGCAGAGAUUCUCCUUUUGUGAGAAUUUCGGCCCUUCAAUGUAGAAAUUGUCGACCUUUAUGCUUGUCUGGGGACCUUGUAUUUAUAGACUUCUCAAAGCUUGCCUUUGGAUGAAUUUGGCUUUGAUUUGUGUCUUAAUUCGUCCAUGGGAGAAUUUAGGCAUGUUUUGUGUCUUAAUUUCAGCCACUUUCCCUUGCUUGGCCGAAAUCUAUAAAGCUUUCUUGCCUAUUUUGCGAGCAAUCUUCAAUUUUUGCUUGUUUUGUGAAUAUGUUUUAGCUUUCUUUCCGAUUUUGGGAGCAAUUUGGGCCCCUUGCCAAUUUUAAGGAGAUUUCUUCUUUUUGGCCGAAUUUUGGGGAAGUUUUGAGCUUCCUUUACUUGAUUUGUGCAACAUGUCAUUGAUGACUUGUCCAUUUGUGAUGAGUCAUAUGCCACGUGGAGCUUUGUGAUGCAUCAUUUGCAUGCAACGAAAUUUACAUGUCUACAUCUAUAUGAAAAAAUUCCUAAAUUUGCUUAACUCUGUUACAUACACUUAAUUAUGUACUUAUUGAUUUCCGAUAUGUUUCAAUUGUUUAUUACAUCCGCGAAAUGAGAACUACAAUAUAUAUAGAAAAAAUUGUAGUAGUGGUCCGUCAACUUAAUUCCAAUUGGAGCAAUGCUCCAUUAACUAAAAAUCCAUGACCAUUGGUCCUUUAAUUCAUCAAGAUGUGCAGCUAUAGUCCUUUUUGUGAACUCCAUUAGAACUUCCGUCUAAAUGAGUCACAUGCCGCCUACAUAAGGUCGAAUCAAGGGGCAAAUAUGGAAAACUAAAUGAGAAGGAAUUGUCCUUCAACCUUAACCUAAUUGGAGAAAUGGUCCCUCAACUUUAACCUAAUUGGAGCA
RNAcentral lists this long non-coding RNA (1413 nucleotides) under Malus domestica (apple). RNAcentral's name for it is "long non-coding RNA (MDOM_LNC021038)". The record is from RNAcentral. Lineage: Eukaryota; Viridiplantae; Streptophyta; Magnoliopsida; Rosales; Rosaceae.